GAGGGUAUGGCUCAGUGGUAGAGCGCAUGCUUAGCAUGCACGAGGUCCUGGGUUUAAUCUUCAGUACCGCCA
Camelus ferus (Wild Bactrian camel) is the source of this 72-nucleotide transfer RNA. It matches the Rfam family "tRNA". From Rfam's summary of the family: Transfer RNA (tRNA) molecules are approximately 80 nucleotides in length. Lineage: Eukaryota; Metazoa; Chordata; Mammalia; Artiodactyla; Camelidae. The record is from Rfam.